CCCUACGGGGGGCAGCAGUGAGGAAUAUUGGUCAAUGGGCGGGAGCCUGAACCAGCCAAGUCGCGUGAGGGAAGACGGUCCUAUGGAUUGUAAACCUCUUUAGGCGGGGAGCAAUGCCGGGCACGCGUGCCCGGAGGGAGAGUACCCGCAGAAUAAGCAUCGGCUAACUCCGUGCCAGCAGCCGCGGUAAUACGGAGGAUGCGAGCGUUAUCCGGAUUUAUUGGGUUUAGAGGGUGCGUAGGCGGAUUUUUAAGUCAGCGGUAAAAUGUCCGGGCUCAACCCGGGCCGGCCGUUGAAACUGGGGG
RNAcentral lists this ribosomal RNA (305 nucleotides) under uncultured bacterium. RNAcentral's name for it is "bacterial SSU rRNA". It matches the Rfam family "Bacterial small subunit ribosomal RNA", at positions 337 to 639 of the family's 1533-position model. The record is from RNAcentral.